Molecule: long non-coding RNA, 215 nt
Filed under: Elaeis guineensis (African oil palm)
Lineage: Eukaryota; Viridiplantae; Streptophyta; Magnoliopsida; Arecales; Arecaceae
Description: long non-coding RNA (EGUI_LNC025648)
Source: RNAcentral
UCCCAAGUUUCUAUAGACUCUUGUCUCCUAUGCUCAGCUAGAUGCUCUAAAUUAUGUCAAUAUAACUUAGAUUGACUGAUUAACUUUAUUUUAGCAAACUUAAUUUUUUGGACUUCGGACAUGUCAUAUCACUCGAAGAAGUGGUCUAUAUCUACCUCCCAGUCUAAAUACUCCUUAAAGUCAAGCGAACCAUCAAAGCUGGGUGCUUCUACCUU